This 96-nucleotide non-coding RNA is filed under the name pig gut metagenome. RNAcentral's name for it is "TPP riboswitch (THI element)". It matches the Rfam family "TPP riboswitch aptamer (THI element)", at positions 8 to 91 of the family's 105-position model. From Rfam's summary of the family: Vitamin B(1) in its active form thiamin pyrophosphate (TPP) is an essential coenzyme that is synthesised by coupling of pyrimidine and thiazole moieties in bacteria. The previously detected thiamin-regulatory element, thi box was extended, resulting in a new, highly conserved RNA secondary structure, the THI element, which is widely distributed in eubacteria and also occurs in some archaea. Analysis of operon structures identified a large number of new candidate thiamin-regulated genes, mostly transporters, in various prokaryotic organisms. The record is from RNAcentral.
CCACGGGGAGCUUGUGUAGCAGGCUGAGAGGAAGUAAUCGAACUUCGACCCUUAUACCUGAUUUGGAUAAUGCCAACGUAGGAACUGGGAAAUAUA